AGAAUCACGCUGGCGGCGUGCCUAACACAUGCAAGUCGAACGCGAAAGGGGAGCAAUCCCCGAGUAGAGUGGCGUCCGGGUGAGUAACACGUGGAUAAUCUACCUAGAGGUGGGGAAUAACUCUUCGAAAGGGGAGCUAAUACCGCAUAACACAAAUUGGGGGCAUCCCCGAAUUGUCAAAGUGGGGGACCGAAAGGCCUCACGCCGCUAGAGGAGUCCGCGGCCGAUUAGCUAGUUGGUGAGGUAACGGCUCACCAAGGCGUCGAUCGGUAGCCGGCCUGAGAGGGUGACCGGCCACACUGGCACUGAAACACGGGCCAGACUCCUACGGGAGGCAGCAGUGGGGAAUUUUGGGCAAUGGCCGAAAGGCUGACCCAGCAACGCCGCGUGAGGGAUGAAAUCCUUCGGGAUGUAAACCUCGUAAGUCAGGGAAGAAUAAACAUACUCUAACACAGUAUGAUAUGACGGUACCUGACGUAAGCCCCGGCUAACUCCGUGCCAGCAGCCGCGGUAAUACGGGGGGGGCAAGCGUUGUUCGGAAUUACUGGGCGUAAAGGGCGCGUAGGCGGCCCAGCUAAGUCGAGUGUUAAAUCCCAGAGCUUAACUCUGGACAGUCGCUCGAUACUAGCGGGCUAGAGUGUGGAAGAGGGUGCUGGAAUUCCCGGUGUAGCGGUGGAAUGCGUAGAUAUCGGGAAGAACACCGGUGGCGAAGGCGGCUCGCUGGGCCGAUGCUGACGCUGAGGCGCGAAAGCGUGGGGAGCAAACAGGAUUAGAUACCCUGGUAGUCCACGCCGUAAACGAUGGGUACUAGGCGUCGGGGGGAGCGACCCCCUCGGUGCCGUCGCUAACGCAGUAAGUACCCCGCCUGGGGAGUACGGCCGCAAGGCUGAAACUCAAAGGAAUUGACGGGGGCCCGCACAAGCGGUGGAUGAUGUGGUUUAAUUCGACGCAGCGCGAAAAACCUUACCUACCCUUGACAUGUGCGGAAUCCUGCAGAGAUGCAGGAGUGCCCGAAAGGGAACCGCAACACAGGUGCUGCAUGGCUGUCGUCAGCUCGUGUCGUGAGAUGUUGGGUUAAGUCCCGCAACGAGCGCAACCCUUGCCAUUAGUUGCUACAUUCAGUUGAGCACUCUAAUGGGACUGCCGGUGACAAACCGGAGGAAGGUGGGGAUGACGUCAAGUCCUCAUGGCCCUUAUGGGUAGGGCUACACACGUCAUACAAUGGCGCGUACAGAGGGUUGCCAACCCGCGAGGGGGAGCCAAUCCCAGAAAGCGCGUCGUAGUCCGGAUUGAAGUCUGCAACUCGACUUCAUGAAGUCGGAAUCGCUAGUAAUCGCAGAUCAGCAUGCUGCGGUGAUACGAUCCCGGCGUUGCACACAC
This 1380-nucleotide ribosomal RNA is filed under the name uncultured bacterium. RNAcentral's name for it is "partial 16S ribosomal RNA". It matches the Rfam family "Bacterial small subunit ribosomal RNA", at positions 26 to 1390 of the family's 1533-position model. The record is from RNAcentral.